GUCCACGCCCUAAACGAUGUCUACUAGUUGUCGGGUCUUAAUUGACUUGGUAACGCAGCUAACGCGUGAAGUAGACCGCCUGGGGAGUACGGUCGCAAGAUUAAAACUCAAAGGAAUUGACGGGGACCCGCACAAGCGGUGGAUGAUGUGGAUUAAUUCGAUGCAACGCGAAAAACCUUACCUACCCUUGACAUGUACAGAAUGCCGAAGAGAUUUGGCGGUGCUCGCAAGAGAACUGUAACACAGGUGCUGCAUGGCUGUCGU
RNAcentral lists this ribosomal RNA (264 nucleotides) under uncultured bacterium. Its description in RNAcentral is "partial 16S ribosomal RNA". It matches the Rfam family "Bacterial small subunit ribosomal RNA", at positions 793 to 1055 of the family's 1533-position model. The record is from RNAcentral.